This 124-nucleotide microRNA precursor is filed under the name Hordeum vulgare. Its description in RNAcentral is "microRNA MIR1122". It matches the Rfam family "MIR1120/MIR1122 microRNA precursor family". The record is from RNAcentral. Lineage: Eukaryota; Viridiplantae; Streptophyta; Magnoliopsida; Poales; Poaceae.
AAUAUACUCCCUCCGUCCGGAAAUACUUGUCCUAGAAAUAGAUGUAUCUAGACUUAUUUUAGUUAUAAAUACAUUCAUUUUGUACAUUUCUAGGAGAAGUAUUUCCGGACGGAGGGAGUAUUUC